CACCCCCUCUCCGGCCCACCCCCUAACCAGCAAAAUAAAGGCAGCUGCUGGGGGCUGGCAGAGAACAGAGACCCAGAGACAGGCAGUGAGAAGGUAGCUGACCAAGCCACAGAACAGAACCCACCCACGCGAGACUCUCCAGCAGGAGGACCGACGCUUAGGCCACACCUGCUACAGACCCCAAACACCCCACCAGCCAAGCCACCUGCUACAGACCCCAAACACCCCACCAGCCAAGCGGAACCCUCGAUUAGAGAUGAGCUCUCGGGUCCAGUUGGCUUCAGCCAUGAGGAACCCCAGCAGGAAAUGGAGAAGGAAGAGAGUGAGAUGAGGCACCUGAUCGCCUGGUGACCUGCCUGCGAGUCCCCCAUGGGUUGUGUGUAUUCUUCAAGAGGCCAUUGUUCCUCCAAAGGCAGCCUCUUCUACCAGUUUCCUCCCUUCUGAUCAUGUCCCCAGUUCUCUCCCCUCUUGCUUCAGAUCAAAUGGCAGAAACAACUCUGCUGCUGCUCACACAGGUUGUCACACUGUCCCGUGGGGUGCUCCUACAUCCACAUGUGUGUAAAUAAGCCCUCCCCAAAUAAACCAGUUUUGAG
RNAcentral lists this long non-coding RNA (593 nucleotides) under Urocitellus parryii (Arctic ground squirrel). Its description in RNAcentral is "lncRNA (ENSUPAG00010010930.1)". Lineage: Eukaryota; Metazoa; Chordata; Mammalia; Rodentia; Sciuridae. The record is from RNAcentral.